Molecule: ribosomal RNA, 853 nt
Filed under: Hypoxylon sp.
Lineage: Eukaryota; Fungi; Ascomycota; Sordariomycetes; Xylariales; Hypoxylaceae
Description: partial large subunit ribosomal RNA
Rfam family: Eukaryotic large subunit ribosomal RNA
Source: RNAcentral
GGGAUUGCCCUAGUAACGGCGAGUGAAGCGGCAACAGCUCAAAUUUGAAAUCUGGCCCUCGUGGUCCGAGUUGUAAUUUGUAGAGGAUGCUUUAGGUGCGGUGCCUUCCGAGUUCCCUGGAACGGGACGCCAGAGAGGGUGAGAGCCCCGUACGGUUGGACACCUACCCUGUAUAUAGCUCCUUCGACGAGUCGAGUAGUUUGGGAAUGCUGCUCUAAAUGGGAGGUAAAUUUCUUCUAAAGCUAAAUACCGGCCAGAGACCGAUAGCGCACAAGUAGAGUGAUCGAAAGAUGAAAAGCACUUUGAAAAGAGGGUUAAAUAGCACGUGAAAUUGUUGAAAGGGAAGCGUUUGCGACCAGACUUUUUCCGGGGGGAUCAUCCGGUGUUCUCACCGGUGCACUCCGCCCGGUUUAGGCCAGCAUCGGUUCUCUUAGGGGGAUAAAGGCUUGGGGAACGUAGCUCCUUCGGGAGUGUUAUAGCCCCUUGCGUAAUACCCCUCGGGGGACCGAGGAUCGCGCUCUGCAAGGAUGCUGGCGUAAUGGUCGUCAACGACCCGUCUUGAAACACGGACCAAGGAGUCGAACAUUUGUGCGAGUGUUUGGGUGUUAAACCCUCACGCGUAAUGAAAGUGAACGGAGGUGAGAGCCCUUACGGGUGCAUCAUCGACCGAUCCUGAUGUCUUCGGAUGGAUUUGAGUAAGAGCAUAACUGUUCGGACCCGAAAGAUGGUGAACUAUGCGUGGAUAGGGUGAAGCCAGAGGAAACUCUGGUGGAGGCUCGCAGCGGUUCUGACGUGCAAAUCGAUCGUCAAAUCUGCGUAUGGGGGCGAAAGACUUAUCGAACCCAUUUUUUUC